AUGCGGCGGGGAACGGGGGGCAUUUUAGCACUCAUCACUUGCAUUCGGGUCCGGGACCAGUCCCGGCCGGGUCCCUGCGGUGCCAGGCGCUGUAUGGGCACUGCUGGGUGCAAACGCUGCCAGCGCCGGAGACACCGCGGGAGCAGCCYGGGCUCUGCUGUCCCAGGCGGGGACAGAGGGACAGGGCGGCSAGUCGUGGGUGCCCAGUUUGCCAGCUCCAUCCCGUCCCCUGCUCCRUGCAGGGCGGAGGGUUUGGCUGGGGUGGUGGAGGUGGCUGGAGCAGCCCCCGUCCCCCGUGCCGCUGGGUCGGGGCAUGGAGCUGUGUGCUGCCGCGGCGGAGCCUUCCCGCUGCAGCCAGGAGCUCAGCCCUGCGGGGUGAUCCCGGAUAAAGCCAGCUCAAAGGGGAGCCCGGGGGCCAGCGUGGAACAACCCAAGCAGGCAGCUAAUGGGAUCAGCGGGCCCAGCCAGGCGGCGGCGGGGCCAGGGCGGGAAUUAGCCCUGGCAGCAACAGCUGUUCGCAGGCCGCCCGUGGCCCUGGCUCCCUCCUCGCUGCAGGGAUGCUGGCGAUGCUGCAGUCCGGGGGAUGCUGCGCAGGCUGGGAAUGCCGCACUGCCCAGGGAUGCUGUGCUGGCUGGGGAUGCUGCACUCCCGGGGAUGCUGCACUGUCCAGGGAUGCUGCGUUGGCUGUGCUGCCUGGGAAUGCUGCGCUCCUGGGAUUGCCGCACUGGCUGGGGAUGCUGCGCUGGCUGGGGAUGCUGCGCUCCCAGGAACGCUGUGCUCCCAGGAAUGCUGCGCUGGCCAGGGAUGCGGCGCUGGCUGAGAAUGCAGCGUUGGCUGAGAAUGCAGCACUGCCCCGGGAUGCUGCGCUGCUGGGGACGCUGCGCUGGCCGGGGACGCUGGCACCAGACUCACCUUGGGCGCCCACCAAGUGAUGCCCAUGUGCAGGGCGUAGUCGCAGCACACCUUGGGGUCGGCCAGGCUGCGGCACUUCUCGUAGGCGUCCAGCAGCGAGGUCUCCUUGUCGGGCAGGACGUGGCCGAUGAUCAUCGUCGUCCCUCCCACCAGGGCUGCCUGCGGGCGGCAGGCGUCAGCACCUUCCCCCGCCGCCCCCGGGCACCGUCUGCCGCCCCUUCCCCAGCACCUGCUCGCUGGGCUCGGGGUGCCAGGGGUUGCCCUACAUGGGCCGUUUAUGGGCCUGGGUGCAAAGUCCCUGCAAAAUGCCCCCCCCUGCACUGCAUCCCCAGCACGGGCAGGAUGAGACCGGCAGGACCCGAGCGGGGACGGGGGACGCGUGGGCAGCAGGGCGAGAGCCGCUGCACCCCGGCGGCGUCUCCAGCUCACCCAGCCCGGCUAAUCCCCAAAGCUCCUUUACCCAUCCGCCCCCGGCGGGCUGCCGCGGGCUGGCCAAGCCGGCACGGUGCAGCACGGUGCAGCAGCGCGCCGGGCUGGGCGCCGGGGGCAGGCACAGCCCCGGCCCCUCCUUGGCACGGCACGGGGGUGCCAUCGGCACGCUGGGGACAUCACCGUGUCUCUCCAGCCCCUCGCCAUGCCGCCGCGCACCCCCCCUGUGCUGCAGCACCGUGCUUGAGCUCCCCCAUCCYGGGGAUGCUCCGCUCCCCGCCGUGGGGCUCAGCGCACCGGAGCCAGGCACGGCCGGCGCCGGCGCUGCACAAAGGCUGCUCUGUGCGGGCUGCCGGAGCCAGGCGGCCCCGGGGACAAGGCUGCACCAGCCCCCCAGCGCUGCCGGCCAGCGGCACCCGGUGCACGGCACCGCUCUGGGGCUGCAGAGCUGGGGAGAUCCGAGCGCGUGGCGGGGAGACGCCGUGGGGCACGGGCAUGCACACGCAUGCCGCGGGCAGAAGCAGGGGCUGGAGCACCUGCCGCGCACCUCGCGCGCAAGGUCUGCGCUAG
This 1911-nucleotide long non-coding RNA is filed under the name Apteryx haastii (Great spotted kiwi). RNAcentral's name for it is "lncRNA (ENSAHAG00000012788.1)". The record is from RNAcentral. Lineage: Eukaryota; Metazoa; Chordata; Aves; Apterygiformes; Apterygidae.